UACGUAGGGACCAAGCGUUGUUCGGAUUUACUGGGCGUAAAGCGCGUGUAGGCUGCUUGGAAAGUCGGAUGUGAAAGCCCUGGGCUCAACCUAGGAAGUGCAUUCGAAACUUCCAGCUGGAGUGCUGGAGAGGAAGGCGGAAUUCUCGGUGUAGAGGUGAAAUUCGUAGAUAUCGAGAGGAACACCGGUGGCGAAGGCGGCCUUCUGGACAGUCACUGACGCUGAGACGCGAAAGCGUGGGGAGCAAACAGG
RNAcentral lists this ribosomal RNA (252 nucleotides) under uncultured bacterium. RNAcentral's name for it is "partial 16S ribosomal RNA". It matches the Rfam family "Bacterial small subunit ribosomal RNA", at positions 524 to 776 of the family's 1533-position model. The record is from RNAcentral.